UACGUAGGGGGCGAGCGUUGUCCGGAUUUACUGGGCGUAAAGGGCGUGCAGGCGGUUUGUUUAGUCUAGGGUGAAAGCUCCCGGCUUAACUGGGAGAGGUCCUUGGAUACUGGCAAACUUGAGGGAGGCAGAGGAAAGUGGAAUUCCCGGUGUAGUGGUGAUAUGCGUAGAUAUCGGGAGGAACACCAGUGGCGAAGGCGGCUUUCUGGGCCUUACCUGACGCUGAGACGCGAAAGCGUGGGGAGCGAACCGG
RNAcentral lists this ribosomal RNA (253 nucleotides) under uncultured bacterium. Its description in RNAcentral is "partial 16S ribosomal RNA". It matches the Rfam family "Bacterial small subunit ribosomal RNA", at positions 524 to 776 of the family's 1533-position model. The record is from RNAcentral.